This 213-nucleotide unclassified non-coding RNA is filed under the name rhizosphere metagenome. RNAcentral's name for it is "partial ribosomal RNA internal transcribed spacer region". The record is from RNAcentral.
GUAGGUGAACCUGCGGAAGGAUCAUUACACAAAAGGAUACCCUCACCGGUAUACCCCACCCGUGUCUAUUUACUCUUGUUGCUUUGGCAGGCCGUGGUCUCCCACUGCGGGCUCUGCCUGCAAGUGCCUGCCAGAGGACCAAACUCUGAAUUUUAGUGAUGUCUGAGUACUAUAUAAUAGUUAAAACUUUCAACAACGGAUCUCUUGGUUCUG